Non-coding RNA from Pelobates cultripes (western spadefoot toad), 236 nucleotides. NCBI's taxonomy places the organism in Eukaryota, Metazoa, Chordata, Amphibia, Anura, Pelobatidae. The record is from the annotation of a GenBank genome assembly.
CCCCAACAAAUCACAUCACCCAAAGAACACCAUCAACACAGUGAAACAUGGUGAUGACAGCAUCAUGCUGUGGGGAUGUUUUUCAGCAGGGGCUGGGAAACUGGUCAGAAUUGAGGGAAAGAUGGUGCUAAAUACAGGGAUAUUCUUGAGCAAAACCUGUACCACUCUGUGCGUGAUUUGAGGCUAACAUGGAGGUUCACCUUCCAGCAGGACAAUGACCCCAAACACACUGCUAA